GGGGGUGACUUGGAUUCGACGCCGAUUGCGAACCCUUAGGUGCAUGUCGAGAAUGUGAUGAUUCUCGUAAAUCCCUCAUCACACAGUUAUAGUUGCAAACGACGAUAACUACGCUCUAGCAGCCUAAGCCUGCUAGCGCUGCCCUCUAAGGUGUCUAUAACUCAGAGUUUCGGCAGUGUCAUAUGAGAUAGAAUCGCCCGGAGACUUCGCCUUAAGGCAAAGGGUUAAAACUCAAAAAGGCUCGCCCAUAACAGCCUGACUCUCGGCUCGUGACGGGUUAACUCAAUAGAGAUGUCUAUGCAUGUAGAGCUUGAGGCAGAGGAUUGACGGACGCGGGUUCGAAACCCGCCACCUCCACCA
RNAcentral lists this transfer-messenger RNA (360 nucleotides) under Pseudomonadales. RNAcentral describes it as "Marinobacterium sp013283365 Standard tmRNA". It matches the Rfam family "transfer-messenger RNA". Rfam says of the family: Bacterial tmRNA, also known as 10Sa RNA or SsrA, is named for its dual tRNA and mRNA-like properties. Its role is to liberate the mRNA from a stalled ribosome. Lineage: Bacteria; Pseudomonadati; Pseudomonadota; Gammaproteobacteria. RNAcentral also lists the same sequence under 18 other names. The record is from RNAcentral.